UGGGGAAUAUUGGACAAUGGGCGAAAGCCUGAUCCAGCCAUGCCGCGUGUGUGAAGAAGGUCUUCGGAUUGUAAAGCACUUUAAGUUGGGAGGAAGGGCAGUAAGCGAAUACCUUGCUGUUUUGACGUUACCGACAGAAUAAGCACGGCUAACUCUGUGCCAGCAGCCGCGGUAAUACAGAGGGUGCAAGCGUUAAUCGGAAUUACUGGGCGUAAAGCGCGCGUAGGUGGUUCGUUAAGUUGAAUGUGAAAGCCCCGGGCUAAACCUGGGAACUGCAUCCAAAACUGGCGAGCUAGAGUAGGGCAGAGGGUGGUGGAAUUUCCUGUGUAGCGGUGAAAUGCGUAGAUAUAGGAAGGAACACCAGUGGCGAAGGCGACCACCUGGGCUCAUACUGACACUGAGGUGCGAAAGCGUGGGGAGCAAACAGG
This 428-nucleotide ribosomal RNA is filed under the name Pseudomonadota bacterium. RNAcentral's name for it is "Proteobacteria bacterium partial 16S ribosomal RNA". It matches the Rfam family "Bacterial small subunit ribosomal RNA", at positions 355 to 776 of the family's 1533-position model. The record is from RNAcentral. Lineage: Bacteria; Pseudomonadati; Pseudomonadota.